Molecule: ribosomal RNA, 301 nt
Filed under: uncultured bacterium
Lineage: Bacteria
Description: partial 16S ribosomal RNA
Rfam family: Bacterial small subunit ribosomal RNA
Source: RNAcentral
CAGUAGCCGCGGGAAUACGUAGGUCCCGAGCGUUGUCCGGAUUUAUUGGGCGUAAAGCGAGCGCAGGCGGUUAGAUAAGUCUGAAGUUAAAGGCAUUGGCUCAACCAAUGUAUGCUUUGGAAACUGUUAGACUUGAGUGCAGAAGGGGAGAGUGGAAUUCCAUGUGUAGCGGUGAAAUGCGUAGAUAUAUGGAGGAACACCGGUGGCGAAAGCGGCUCUCUGGUCUGUCACUGACGCUGAGGCUCGAAAGCGUGGGUAGCGAACAGGAUUAGAUACCCCUGUAGUCCCUGUCUCUUAUACA